This 11900-nucleotide long non-coding RNA is filed under the name Salvia miltiorrhiza (redroot sage). RNAcentral's name for it is "long non-coding RNA (SMIL_LNC000600)". Lineage: Eukaryota; Viridiplantae; Streptophyta; Magnoliopsida; Lamiales; Lamiaceae. The record is from RNAcentral.
GAUAUUUUAUGAAAUAAUUAAAUAGAGCAGUUUAUCCAAUAUCAUAAUCAUAACUCAGAAGGUUUUAAAAUAGAAAUCCACUUCUAAGCAUGACAAAACAUUUUUCUCAUUAAGUGGCGCGCCAUGUGACGUUCGAUUGUUACUCGCUGCUUAUGAUCCCGGGACUUAACCACCGUCGGAUCGCUUACCGCCGCUUAAGUGAACCCGGGACGCUACCCAGACGGAACACAUCAUCAUCUGUGCUUGGAACGUGUCCAGGAGCACCCUUAUAACGCCUGCUUAGCUUCGUUAGUGCCCAAAUGGCGAUCAACCCAUUGAGCAACUAACCUUGUGUACACAAUCCUCAUCUAACGUGUUAGGUCAAAUGAGAAUCUCGAUCGAUGCUUAUGCGAGCAUUAAACAAUACAGAACGCACAUAAAAACAUUUAUAUUGGAUAAACAAUUAACUUUCAUGAAAUAUCAGAGCUUAUAUAACUCAAGAUACAUUUGUAAAAUAAAGCCCACCUGGAUAGGCAAAGCCUGAAGAUCAUACACAUAUAAACUUGUCUUGGGAAAGCAGCGCUAACCCACUUGGUCAUAAAGCCUACAAGAAAUUAUAUUCUUAAUAGGUAUCGAGGUAUCAUUCUAAUUUCUAAGUAAAUGGAACCGCUAACUAUUGAUACACUUUGCCCGAUUUAAUAAUCUCUUUGAAUGAAUCCAUAAUCUUUUAAUAUAUAAAAUAAGUUUAAAACUUAUAAAAUAAUUAAUAAUUUAAAAUAAAUUAUAAAACAUUAAUCUUGGGAGAAAAAUUAAUAAUUCUUAUUAAAACAUUUUCAGCAAAAUAAUAGUUCAAGCCCAAGAAGAUAAUUUAAAAACUUGUUAUAAAAUAAAGCAGCCCAAAGUAAUUAAAGUGAAGCCUAAAUGCUUAAAUGUACCUGAGUCCAUUGACAAUUUAAAUCAAACUAGGCUCAAUCCAUUCUUUCAAAUUCCCUUAAUGAAAACCUACACCUACACACAUCACACACACAUACAACCCACGCACACCAGCUCACUCCCUCUCUCUCAGCCGCUCACCCCACCCUUUCUGCGCCCUCCUGCCGCCGCCACCGGACGGCAGCGCCGUCCCCGGAGGCCGGCGGCUCCGCCUCCUUCCUCUAUCCUGUCCGACCGCAACGCACCCCGCCGUCCCUGUAUCGACAGAGGCGCGCCGAGCCGCCUCCCCUUCCAGUACUGCCGCCGCUGCCCUCUUUCCCUUUCCUCACCUCUAGUCUCCCUCUCUCUCUGCUUCCCCUCAGCCGAACAGCGGCGUCCACCCUUCUCCGGCGACCCUCGCCGCCAGCCACCACCCGCUCCUACCCGGCGUCACCUUCACCCUCCUCUCUCCCUCGUUUGGUCAACAGCAGCAGUCCUCAGCAGCCCAGCUGCGGUCAAGGCCACCGCGCCGCCGCCGAACGGCGGCUUUCGCCUCCCUUCUCUUCCCCUUCUUCUUAUCUUCCUUUCACCCCUCACUUCUCGCCGUCCUCCAUCACCUCUCUCUCGCGCUUUCGGCAGCGGACGGCCAAGGAGGGCCGUCGCUGCUGCUGCUGCUGCUCCGUUCACUCUGCGUCAGCGGCGCCUGGCCUUCGGCCGUGCCGCCGUGCCCCGACUCCAUCUGCCUUGGCCGCGAGCGGCCGGCGGGAUGCUGCCACGCAUGCAGCGCCGGCAGUCGCAGCCUUGACAGCCCGGCGUCGAGCUCGAACAGCCCCACUCCUCCCUCUCAUCGAUUCCUCGACUCUCACUCACUCACCAGAGGAACAAAGAAAUUGAAUGAAAAGGAAAUUGAAUGGGAGAGAGGAAAUUUUCUUCAUAAAUCGGAGUGUGUGGAUGGGAAAAGUUUGUGGGUGUGGCUGAAGGUGAUGUGGAUGAAGGAAAGCCAAAGCUUUUGAGAAAAAUAAAAUAAAAUCGCCACUGUAGAAUUCUUGGGGAAAAAGAAAAUGUAUCAAUUCUCGUUGCCCGACUCAACUUCUCACACUUUCCCAUACUGACAUUCAAAUUUUGGGCCACUACUGAUCUUACAAAUCUUGAGGUGAAAGCCCAUAAAAUUAUUCUGUUAAAAAGAGGUUGUUGGGCUUGAGGUUCAUCAAAUAAAUAAAUAGAUAGAUAUAAAUGAAAAAUACUAGUAAGAACCUUUCUACUAUAUUUUAGUAUUGGGCUCAAGACCUUUGAUUGAUAAAAAAAAUUAAUAGUAAUGAACUUAAAUACGUAAAAUCUCUUUGAAAUAAUAUCACCUUAUUAACCCGGGCGUGUAUCAAUAAUAUACUAAUUAAAGGUCUUCUACAUUUCUUAUGGGAAAAAUCGAGAUAUCACAAGUCUUUUUAAUAUUUUACAUUUGGUAAGAUUAGAUAUGCAAUGUGUCUAAUUCCUUUGCCAAUGCAUGCACAAUAUGAAAUAGAACACGAAUGAUAUUUAAAAAAAAAAGAAAAAAAAAAGAAAACACUUUUUUUCGAAUUGUAUGACUUAGCUAAUUUGUGUCAAAUGAUCUGAGUGCUUUACAUCUCUAUCUUUAAAGUGAUUUAUAUGAAGGGUUAUCCAAUUUUUAGGUCCAAUACCAUCCACCAUUGGAAAUCUAUCAAAUUUGUGGGUGCUAGACCUAUCUUCCAACAAAUUAAAUGGUGAGCUUCCAUUCUCCAUGUGCAACAUGACAUCCCUUCAAAUUCUUAUUUUCUCGAAUAACAGUUUGGAAAUCUUUGGACAUAUUUCAUCUAAAUGCAAAUCACUUUAGUGGCCCCAUUCCAUCAAUAUUUAUGAGAUGGUGAAUUUUUUAGUCUAACAAUUUGAGUAUUAAUAAAUUGCAAGGAAAUUUGUCUAUACGUGUGUUCAUAUAAGAUAUGCGAUUUUUCUAAUUCCCUUGUCACUCCAUGUGCAAUAUGAAAUAGAUUUAUAUAUAAAAAAAGUUGCGCAAUAUAUUUUCUCGAUAAAAGAAAAAGGAAAACAUACUCUAAUAUUUUGAAAAAUAAUUGGAGCAAUGUAAUCUCUUUUUCACAUGGAUAAUAGAGUGACUUAUUUAGAACUCUAGCUGGGGUGUGACUUGUGAGACUCGAAGGCAGCACAUCCCACUAGAAAUUGGAAAUCUGUCUUCACUUGUUUAUCUUGAUAUAAAUGGAAACUCUUUUCAUGGUACUAUUUCCUCUAUCUAUUUUUAAUUUGUUGUUAAUAGAAUAUAUUUAUUUAUAUGGUAAUCCUAUCAGCUCGUGUGAUAUCCCGACUUUUCUAUAAGAAAUAUAGAAGAUCUUUACUUAGUUUAUUAUUGGGAAUCUAUCCAAUUUGUCGUUGCUAUGGCUAUCUUCCAACAAAUUAAAUGGUGAGCUUCCAUUCUCCAUCUGCAACUUGAUAUAACUUCUUUACAAACUUGAUCGGAUCUUUGGCCAUUUUUGUUUAAACUAGUCUUUCUAAUAUUUUACAUUUGUUAAGAUAAGAUUUGUCUAAUUCCUUUGCCAAUGCAUGCACAAUAUGAAAUAGAACACGAAUGAUAUGUAAAAAAAAAAAAGAAAAAAAUAGAAAACACUUUUUUUCGAAUUGUAUGACUUAGCUAAUUUGUGUCAAAAGAUCUUAGUGCUUUACAUCUCUAUCUUUAAAGUGAUUUAUAUGAAGGGUUAUCCAAUUUUUAGGUCCAAUACCAUCCACCAUUGGGAAUCUAUCAAAUUUGUACCGGCUAGUCCUCGCUUCCAACAAAUUAAAUGGUGAGCUUCCAUUCUCCAUGUGCAACAUGACAUCCCUUCAAAUUCUUAUUUUCUCAAAUAACAGUUUGGAAAUCUUUGGACAUAUUUCAUCUAAAUGCAAAUCACUUUAGUGGCCGCAUUCCAUCAAUAUUUAUGAGAGGGUGUAUUUUUUAGUCUAACAAUUUGAGUGUUAAUAAAUCGCAAGAAAAUUUGCCUAUACAUGUGUUCAUACUAAUAACGAUUUUUCAUUUUUUCCAAUAGUGAUUCAAAUCACUAAUCUAUUAAUUGGAAGUGGAGAACUUUAACAAUUGAGUCACGCUUCGUUAUGAAAUUAAUUAUAUACUUAUAACUUUGCAUGACUAUAUAUGACUUUGAAUUGAUUAGAUAUAAGUUCUUGCACUAAUCUAUUAUUAUUAUUAUUAUUAUUAUUUAUUAUUAUUAUUAUUAUUAUUAUUAUUUAUUAUUAUUAUUAUUAUUAUUAUUAUUAUUAUUAUUAUUAUUAUUAUUAUUAUUAUUAUUAUUAUUAUUUCUCUCUCUUUUUCUAUACUUUACUCGGUUUACAUCAAUCUAAUUAAAUGGAAUUUUUUACAAAUUAGCCCAUAUGACAAUAUAUGUUCACUUUCAUAUAAUUAGAAAAAGCACACCACUAACUAAUUUUCUAAUACUAAUUAUGAUUUUAGAUUGGCUAGAUUAACUAUAUAUGACUCUGCAUUGAAUAGGUUAGAUAUAAAUUCUUGUACAUUAUUUGAUAAUAAAAAAAUGACUUUUAAAUUUUAUUUUAACAACUGAAAAUCAAUUUGUAAAUAUCAGAGGCCCCACUUAAUUGAACCAUUGCCAAGACUAAAUUGAACCGAGUCAAAAUUAUUUGGAUUGAACAAUUACCAUUUAAUAUUCACCAAAUAAUGUAUUCAAAUUGACAAAAACGAACCAUUAAAUAUAGUGUUCUAAUACUUAUUUAUUUUGUGGUCAUGUUAUAAUAAUCAAAUCAAUUAUUUUACGACUUGGCAAUUUUGGAGGUGAUAUUCCAAAAGCGAGAUUGAUUAUGUAUAUCUUGGGAAUAAGAAAUUCCACAAUGCUAUGAAAACUUUAGCAAAUCUUUGGCCAUCUUUCGUUCAAUUAUAAAUCAGUUUAGUGGUAAAAAAUGAGAUAUAUGGAAAAUUACAUAAAUUAUCUGUCGUCCAUUUCCUAAUUUGUUGGUUUUAGAUUACAUUUGUUGAAAAGAUAUUUCAAAUUAUCUGCCAAAGUAAAUGGUGAGCUUCCACUCCAUUUACAACUCGACAUCCCUUGCUAUCUGCAAUUUGGCAGAAACGCUUGCAAAACUUGAUCAGAUCUUUAGCUUAUUUUGUUUACUUAGCUUGCUGGCUUCUUCUCAUAUAACUAAUUUAUGCUUAGUUAGAUAAAUACUCUAACAGCAGUUGGAUUUUCUGUUUCCAGCCAUAUUGGAUCUUCAAUUUUCUCAAUGUUAGAUGAUUUGUUAAAUUAUGAUGUCAUCAAGUAUACUUGGUGUGUCAUCGUGAUACAGGGAAAUAUAAGAUUUGUAACAAAAUAUCUUGUGUGCAUUGCUAAUUGAUUUAUACUUUAAAGGCAUUUAGCAAAUAAUAAAGUUUGAGCGUAUGUUUUCAAGUACAAAAAAAAAUGUCUUUCUUACUAUCCUCCAUCUUUAAAGUGAUUGAAAUGAAGGGUUCUUCAAUUUUUAGGUCCAAUACCAUCCACCAUUGGAAAUCUAACAAAUUUGUACUGGCUAGAACUCUCUUCCAACAAAUUAAAUGGUGAGCUUCCAUUCUUUAUCUGCAACUUGACAUAAUAACUUUUUUACAAACUUCGUCGGAUCUUUUCGCCAUUUUUGUUUGAACUAGUCUUUUUAAAAUUUUACAUUUGGUAAGAUAAGAUAUGCGAUUUGUCUAAUUCCGUUGGCAAUGCAUGCACAAUAUGAAAUAAAACACGAAUGAUAUUAAUAAUAAAAGAAAAACAUAGAAAACACUUUUUUUUCGAAUUGUAUGACUUAGCUAAUUUGUGUCAAAAGAUCCGAGUGCUUUACAUCUCGAUCUUUAAAGUGAUUUAUAUGAAGGGUUAUCCAAUUUUCAGGUCCAAUACCAUCCACCAUUGGGAAUAUAUCAAAUUUGGACUAGCUAGACAUCUCUUCCAACAAAUUAAAUGGUGAGCUUCCAUUCUCCAUGUGCAACAUGACAUCCCUUCAAAUUCUUAUUUUCUCAAAUACAGUUUGAAAUCUUGGACAUAUCAAAUCAAUCAAUUUAGUGGCCCCAUUCCUAAAUAUUUAUGAGAGGGUGUAUUUUUGAGUCUAACAAUUUGAGUGUUAAUAAAUUGCAAGGAAAUUUGCCUAUACGAUUUGUCUAAUUCCUUUGUCACUCCAUGUGCAAUAUGAAAUAGAAAAGGAUGACUUAUCUAAUUUUGAAUCUUUGAUUUCUCAACUUGCUAGGUUGUUCUCAUUUAAUUAGCUCGUGCUUAAUUAACUAAAUACUUUAACAAUAAUUGGAUUUGUUGUUUCCAGCCAUAUUGUAACUCUAUUAAUUUUAAGGAUCAAUAUUAACCAAUGCUAUAUUAAAUUAAGAUGCCAUUGAAUAUAUGAGACAUGCAUGGGUGAUAUAAGAAUAGAAGGUAAUUUAAUUUCUAUCAAAAUACUUCACGUGCAUAAAAUGUAUUUAUUCAUUGCCAUGUUUCUUUAUGUAUCCAGAUUGUUGACUUCUCAAACUUUCAGGUCCAAUACCAUCCACCAUUGGGAAUCUAUCAAAUUUAGAUGUAUUACAACUCUCUUCCAACAAAUUAAAUGGUGAGCUUCCAUUCUCCAUUUGCAACUUGACAUCCCUUCAAAUUCUUAUUUUCUCAAAUAACAGUUUGGAAAUCUUUGGACAUAUUUCAUCUAAAUGCAAAUCACUUUAGUGGCCCCAUUCCAUCAAUAUUUAUGAGAGGGUGUAUUUUUGAGUCUAACAAUUUGAGUGUUAAUUAUAUCGCAAGAAAAUUUGCCUAUACGUGUGUUCAUAUAAGAUAUGAUAUUUGUCUAAUUCCUUUGUCACUCCAUGUGCAAUAUGAAAUAGAUUUAUAUAUAAAAAAAAGUUGAGUAAUAUAUUUUCUCAAUAAAAGAAAAAGGAAAACAUACUCUAAUAUUUUGAAAAGUAAUUGGAGCAGUGUAAUCUCUUUUUCACAUGGAUAAUAGAGUGACUUAUUUAGAACUCUAGCUGGGGUAUGACUUGUGGGACUCGAAGGCAGCAUCCCACUAGAAAUCGGAAAUGUGUCUUCACUUGUUUAUCUUGAUAUGAAUGGAAACUCUUUUCAUGGUACUAUUUCCUCUAUCUAUUUUUUAAUUUGUUGUUAAUAGAAUAUAUUUAUUUAUAUGGUAAUCCUAUCAGCUUGUGUGAUAUCCCGACUUUUCUAUAAGAAAUAUAGAAGAUCUUUACUUAGUUUAUUAUUGAUACACGUCCAUUUUUAAUAAAUUAUAUUAUUCCAAAGAAAUUUUACAACUUUGACGUUCAUGAUUUUUAUUUUUUUUUAGAAAUUAGUUGAUAAUGUCAUUCAAUUUCAUGCUUUCACUACCUUGUUAUGCCAUUUUUUUUAAUUAUGCUUUAUUGACUUGAUUGGAAUAAUAAUUUAGUUUUUGAAAUAAUUCAAUAAUAUGGAAAAGAACUUUGGGUUGUCUAAUUUUUUUAUAAAAACUAUUUUUGAUUGAAUGAUAUUUUUAUCUAAGAACCAAUAGAAUACAUGUAUUAUUACCUUUUCAUAAAAAACAUAAGAAAAUGGGCAUUUUUAUCUAUUAACACUUACUUUUAUCCAUCGAAACUAAUCAUCAAAAAUAAGUUUUUAUAAUAUUUUUGAUGAAUUAAUAGUUAUUUGAGUAGAAGUCAAAAUUUGUGGCUCAAUGAUUUGACUUCCACGCGGCAUUGUCACAUAAGUCAAAUAAUGACUUGCAAAUUGAGUUGUCUUGUAAAUUAACACUUUAUCCGUUCCAUAAAAGUGUGCAUCAUUUUUUGUAGCACGAGUUUUAAUAAAAUGUUAAAUAAGUGUAUUGGGAGUUGAAAAAGUAAUUGACUUUAUUAAAAAAUAAAAGUAAGAAAUAAAAAAUUAGUGGUGUAGUAGUGUCCAAAAAUGACAAUGCACACUCUUAUGUGCCGGAGUAAGUAGUCUCCAAAAAUUUUAGGCUCACAAGAACAGUUUUAGAUUUGAAUAUAAAGGGCAUUUGUAGGCUUCAAGUCUCCAAAAUUCUAGGCAUAUUUUAAAUCAACUAUUACUCUCUUUUUUAUUUAAAAAAAGAUUAAUGACGAUUUUUCAUUUUCCCAUUAGUGAUUCAAAUCCCUAAUCUAUUAAUUGGAAGUGGAGAACUUUACCAAUUGAGUCACGCUUCGUUAUGAAAUUAACUAUAUACUUAUAACUUUGCAUGACUAUAUAUGACUUUGAAUUGAUUAGAUAUAAAUUCUUGCACAUUAAUCUUUUUGCAAUAAACCAUAUGCUUUGAUUAAAAAAAAUGACAUUUCGAUUUAUUUUAACAACUUAAUACCAAUUUGUAAAUAUCAGAAGGCCCAUAAAACUUAAUUAAUAUUACUUUGGUAGACUCUAAACCGAAUUAUUGACAAGAUAUAUUGCUCAUGAUUACUACGGUGGGCUCUUAUUAUUAUUAUUAUUAUUAUUAUUAUUAUUAUUAUUAUUAUUAUUAUUAUUAUUAUUAUUAUUAUUUCUCUCUCUUUUUCUAUACUUGACUCGGUUUACAUCGAUCUAAUUAAAUGCAAUCAAAGAGAUUGAUUAUGUAUAUCUUGGGAAUAAGAAAUUCCACAAUGCUAUGAAAACUUUAUCAAAUUUUUGGCAAUCUUUCAUUCAAUUACAAAUCAGUUUAGUGGUUAAAAAUGAGAUGGAACAUUACAUAAAUUUGUUGAAAAGAUAUUUCAAACUAUCUGUCAAGUAAUUCUUGUGAAGAUUUGCUACUAUUGAGAAUCUAUCAAAUCUAUGGAACCUAGACCUCUCUUCCAAUGAAUUAAAUGGUGAGCUUCCACUCCAUUUACAACUUGACAUCCCUUGCUAUCUGCAACUUGGCAGAAACGCUUGCAAAACUUGAUCAGAUCUUUAGCUUAAUUUGUUUUCUUAGCUUGCUGGCUUCUUCUCAUAUAACUAAUUUAUGCUUAGUUAGAUAAAUACUCUAACAGUAGUUGGAUUUUCUGUUUCCAGCCAUAUUGGAUCUUCUAUUUUCUCAAUGUUAACAAAUGAUUUGUUAAAUUAUGAUGUCAUCAAGUAUACUUGGUGUGCAUGUCUUCGUGAUACAUGGAAAUAUAAGAUUUGUAACAAAAUAUCUUGUGUAUGUUGCUAAUUGAUUUAUACUUUAGAGGCAUUUAGCAAAUAAUAAAGUUUCAGCGUAUGUUUUCAUGUACAAAACAAAAUGUCUUUCUUACUAUCCUCCAUCUUUAAAGCGAUUGAAAUGAAGGGUUCUUCAAUUUUUAGGUCCAAUACCAUCCACCAUUGGGAAUCUAUCAAAUCUGUCGGACCUAGACCUCUCUUCCAACAAAUUAAAUGGUGAGCUUUCAUUCUUUAUAUGCAACUUGACAUAAUAACUUUUUUACAAACAUGAUCGGAUCUUUGGCCAUUUUUGUUUGAACUAGUCUUGUAACGACCCAACUUCCCAAACAAAAGAAAUAAGAAAAUAAUGUGAUAUGAACAGAUCAAUUAUGAAGAUUUACCCAAAAGAUUAGGUAUCUGUGUUUUGAAGAGAUUAAUAAAAUAAAGAUAAAAUAGAAUAAAUGAAUGAGCAUUGAGUGACAUAAUCGAUUAACAACAUUCAACUUUCCAGGAGCGCAAAAGUUUAGUUUCGUGACUCUGAUCAUAAUCAACGAUGGCCUCAUUAAUUGAAAUACGAAUUAAGGGUCUAAGCUCAACGAGAUAAUAUUUUACCAUAUAAUAGAAGUUCUUAGUUUAGGAGAUUGAAAGACAAGAUAGCAAGCUAGUCGUUUAGCGGAAGCAAAAGACAACGUGGAACCCUAGCCUCAGCUCCGUCCGCACCAACCGAUCAACCUGAAAAUAUUUGAAAAUAAUUUGGGCUGAGUACUAGUGUACUCAGUGAACAGGAGUUUGCAAGAUAUUUUAUGAAAUAAUUAAAUAGAGCAGUUUAUCCAAUAUCAUAAUCAUAACUUAGAAGGUUUUUAAAAAAAAUAGAAAUCCUCUUCUAAGCAUGACAAAACAUUUUUCUCAUUAAGUGGCGCGCCAUGUGACGUUCGAUUGUUACUCGCUGCUUAUGAUCCCGGGAAUUAACCACCGUCGGAUCGCUUACCGCCGCUUAAGUGAACCCGGGACGCUACCCAGACGGAACACAUCAUCAUUUGUGCUUUGGAACGUGUCCAGGAGCACCCUUAUAACGCCUGCUUAGCUUUGUUAGUGCCCAAAUGGCGAUCAACCCAUUGAGCAACUAACCUUGUGUACACAAUCCUCAUCUAACGUGUUAGGUCAAAUGAGAAUCUCGAUCGAUGCUUAUGCGAGCAUUAAACAAUACAGAACGCACAUAAAAACAUUUAUAUUGGAUAAACAAGUAACUUUCAUGAAAUAUCAGAGCUUAUAUAACUCAAGAUACAUUUGUACAAUAAAGCCCACCUGGAUAGGCAAAGCCUGAAGAUCAUACACAUAUAAACUUGUCUUGGGAAAGCAGCGCUAACCCACUUGGCCACAAAGCCUACAAGAAAUUAUAUUCUUAAUAGGUAUCGAGGUAUCAUUCUAAUUUAUAAGUAAAUGGAAUCGCUAACUAUUGAUACACUUUGCCCGAUUUAAUAAUCUCUUUGAAUGAAUCCAUAAUCUUUUAAUAUAUAAAAUAAGUUUAAAACUUAUAAAAUAAUUAAUAAUUUAAAAUAAAUUAUAAAACAUUAAUCUUGGGAGAAAAAUUAAUAAUUCUUAUUAAAACAUUUUCAGCAAAAUAAUAGUUCAAGCCCAAGAAGAUAAUUUAAAAACUUGUUAUAAAAUAAAGCAGCCCAAAGUAAUUAAAGUGAAGCCUAAAUGCUUAAAUGUACCUGAGUCCAUUGACAAUUUAAAUCAAACUAGGCUCAAUCCAUUCUUUCAAAUUCCCUUAAUGAAAACCUACACCUACACACAUCACACACACAUACAACCCACGCACACCAGCUCACUCCCUCUCUCUCAGCCGCUCACCCCACCCUUUCUGCGCCCUCCUGCCGCCGCCACCGGACGGCAGCGCCGUCCCCGGAGGCCGGCGGCUCCGCCUCCUUCCUCUAUCCUGUCCGACCGCAACGCCACCCCGCCGUCCCUGUAUCGACAGAGGCGCGCCGAGCCGCCUCCCCUUCCAGUACUGCCGCCGCUGCCCUCUUUCCCUUUCCUCACCUCUAGUCUCCCUCUCACUCUCCCCCACCGCACCCAACAGCGGCGUCCACCCUUCUCCGGCGACCCUCGCCGCCAGCCACCACCCGCUCCUACCCGGCGUCACCUUCACCCUCCUCUCUCCCUCGUUUGGUCAACAGCAGCAGUCCUUCAGCAGCCCAGCUGCGGUCAAGGCCACCGCGCCGCCGCCGAACGGCGGCUUUCGCCUCCCUUCUCUUCCCCUUCUUCUUAUCUCCCUUUCACCCCUCACUUCUCGCCGUCCUCCAUCACCUCUCUCUCGCGCUUUCGGCAGCGGACGGCCAAGGAGGGCCGUCGCUGCUGCUGCUGCUCCGUUCACUCUGCGUCAGCGGCACCAUGCCCCGACUCCAUCUGCCUUGGCCGCGAGCGGCCGGCGGGAUGCUGCCACGCAUGCAGCGCCGGCAGUCGCAGCCUUGACAGCCCGGCGUCGAGCUCGAACCGCCCCACUCCCUCCCUCUCAUCGAUUCCUCGACUCUCACUCACUCACCAGAGGAACAAAGAAAUUGAAUGAAAAGGAAAUUGAAUGGGAGAGAGGAAAUUUUCUUCAUAAAUCGGAGUGUGUGGAUGGGAAAAGUUUGUGGGUGUGGCUGAAGGUGAUGUGGAUGAAGGAAAGCCAAAGCUUUUGAGAAAAAUAAAAUAAAAUCGCCACUGUAGAAUUCUUGGGGAAAAAAGAAAAUGUAUCAAUUCUCGUUGCCCGACUCAACUUCUCACACUUUCCCAUACUGACAUUCAAAUUUUGGGCCACUACUGAUCUUACAAAUCUUGAGGUGAAAGCCCAUAAAAUUAUUCUGUUAAAAAGAGGUUGUUGGGCUUGAGGUUCAUCAAAUAAAUAAAUAGAUAGAUAUAAAUGAAAAAUACUAGUAAGAACCUUCUACUAUAUUUUAGUAUUGG